RNAcentral lists this ribosomal RNA (468 nucleotides) under uncultured bacterium. RNAcentral's name for it is "partial 16S ribosomal RNA". It matches the Rfam family "Bacterial small subunit ribosomal RNA", at positions 28 to 507 of the family's 1533-position model. The record is from RNAcentral.
GACGAACGCUGGCGGCGUGCUUAAUACAUGCAAGUCGAACGGAAAGGCCCUGCUUUUGUGGGGUGCUCGAGUGGCGAACGGGUGAGUAACACGUGAGUAACCUGCCCUUGACUCUGGGAUACCUUCAGGAAACUGGGGCUAAUACAGGAUAUGAGCUCCUGCUGCAUGGUGGGGGUUGGAACGUUUCGGCGGUUGGGGAUGGACUCGCGGCUUAUCAGCUUGUUGGUGGGGUAGUGGCUUACCAAGGCUUUGACGGGUAGCCGGCCUGAGAGGGUGACCGGCCACAUUGGGACUGAGAGACGGCGCAGACGCCUACGGGAGGCAGCAGUGGGGAAUAUGGCACAAUGGGCGGAAGCCUGAUGCAGCAACGCCGCGUGCGGGAUGACGUCCUUCGGGUUGUAAACCGCUUUCGCCUGUAACGAAGCGUGAGUGACGGUAAUGGGUAAAGAAGCACCGGCUAACUACGUG